This 2474-nucleotide long non-coding RNA is filed under the name Mus musculus (house mouse). RNAcentral describes it as "Ftx transcript, Xist regulator, non-protein coding". The record is from RNAcentral. Lineage: Eukaryota; Metazoa; Chordata; Mammalia; Rodentia; Muridae.
UGGGGGGGGAGUUGGGGGGGUCUCCCGGAGCUGGGGUGCUCCUUGCAGCACAUGCUGCUGAAGCUGUGCCAGAUGUUGGGACUCACAAAUAAAUUUUUACAGUGAUUUUAUUGGCUGCAGACACACGCAGCAUCUUCUUGCGCUCCUCCUUGAGGUGGAUGGGCAGCUAGCUGGAGAUGACACAGGAUGAUGCGCAUCUUUCGCACGCUGGCUCCAAGAUCUCCGCUGCCAGUGACUUCAACAGAAGUGGAGUAAAUAAAGAUGAUCACAGAACUUGGAAGCUGACGAAAUUAAUUUUGGAAAAGAGCUGGCUUGGAGCAUGACAGAAGAAUUCGAUGGAAAGAGUGCUGGGAGCCCAACUCAAGACUGAUGUGUGCUUGGCAGGCAGUCUACCCCCGAUCUCAGUCCUCCAGCCUUUCGGCCUUUUUUCCUUUUUGGAGACAGAAUUGCAUCAUAUGGCAUCCUACACAGUCCUGCCUCAGUCUCUGCAGUGCUGGGAUUGUAGGCCUAUGCCACCUAGCCUUUCUACAAUACAAACAAAUAUGAAAAGAAGAGGGACUUCUUUGGAAAGGAGUACAGGGACUAUGGAAGAGAUGAAAAGAUAAUAUUGUCAGAAAUUAUGCCGCUUUUGAAGAGAUAAACUGAACUCUUGAUUCUGUGAGGUUAUUAAAGAAUAUUAAUUUUCAAAUCACGGUAAAAUCUUGAUUCAGCAACACAUGAGGAUAAUCAUUGUGUCCAUGGAAACCUUGGGAAGCAGUUGAAAGCCUGGUCCCUCUUGCCUGGAGCAUUAACACAACGUGGCUGCAAAGUUAGUCCUUUCCCGCUACCAUCUCCUGAAUACUGGGACUAACUACACGUAUGCACGAACCUGCCCAUCUUUGCCUCUGUUAACAGCUGCCACUGUCUCUUCACGACAUGAUGGCUGACCUAGGUUGGAAGGAACAGAGCCAGUUGGCCAUGGACUGAAACUUUUGGAACUGAUUCUGAGGAGUUAAUGUUUCCAUGAAUAUCUCAGAAGGAGAUGUGGACAAACGAACAGUUAUCUCACUCCUGUAGCUGGCUGAGCUUUUUAAAGAUGGCUAUUCUGAAUUCUUCACAGAUGGCACAGUGUCAGAAUCGUGUGUGGCCUCCUGCUGCCUGAACCAUGCCGCUAAGACAGUUGCCCACUGUGCAGCUUCACACCAUCUGCAGAGAGCAACACUGCAGAGCCUUUGGGAGAGCCUUGCCAGUCGCUGAAAGCCUGGCUGACUGCCAAGCCUUGCACUGUAGACUGAAAAUUGCUCUCUUUGCUGAGCUCAGUACUAACACUUAGAUCUUCAUGGUCUCCUGGGAGACCAUGUCAGCUGCUGUUCAGUGAGAUAAAUUUGGAUCAGCUGAAGAUAUGCACUCUCUAUGCCUUCCUUGACUGUCAGCUAAACAGUGUGCACUCCUGGCUUAGUACAGCCUUGGCUGCUGAGAGCCCCAUUCCUCCCCUGUGCUCUUCAUUGUCCUCAUGAUCUGGCUUUCAUCAUCCAUUAUACUCCUAACACUGGGAGUGAAGUGUCAUUGAAGAAUGUUCAUCAGGCACUACCUCAAAGGGCUGGAGAUGAUUGGUGAAUGCUUUGAUUCUUCAUUCCUCCUAGGACACAUAUCAAGCCCCCAGAAUUUCUCUCUAUCCAGUUGCACCAGUGUGAGGAACUUGACGGUGUCAGGAAAGUGAAACUGCUUCUCUGCUCCAUAUAAAUGUCUGUGCAGAUGCAAAGCCAUGCAUUACAUGGUAGCUCACCUUUAAUCCUAGCACUCAGGAGACAGAGGCAGGAGGAUCUCUCCGAGCUCAAGGCCAGCCUGGUCUUCACAGUGAGUUCCAGGACAGCCAAGGCUACACAGGAAUCCUGUGUACAGGUCCUUGGUAUUGCACUCCUCUCUAUAAACACAACUUGCUUUUAGAAUGUGUGGUUGUUAAGUUGUUCUGUGAAGGAUGGAUAAAGGCUAGCUCACUACUACACCCGUCAGCUUGCUCCUGUCACUUCUUCUCACCUUUGAGCACUUAGCAUCCCUCUCCGUGUUGUCUUUGCUGAAAUGCUUGCUAAGGCGAAGCUCCUCUGUAGCUGUCCUCUAGCCCCAGCCAAGAUUCUUUCAAGAUUUUUCUUUGGCCUUCUGUAAUUUGAAUAUGAUGAAUGUUUUUAUUUACUACUUCAUUUUGUAUUUUGAAUCUUUUUUAAACCAUGCCAGGUUCUCUAGGCUCCUGGUUCUGAUAUGAAUUGAGCGAUUAUCUUAGGCCCUUGUGUUUCAAAUCUUUCUUUCUUUCUUUCUUUCUUUCUUCCUUCCUUCCUUCUUUUCUUUUCUUUUCUUUUCUUUUUUUUUUUUGAGACAGGGUUUCUCUGUAUAGCUCUGGCUGUCCUGUAACUCACCCGGUAGAUCAGGCUGUCCUUGAACUCAGAAAUCCGCCUGCCUCUGCCUCCCAAGUGCUGGAAUUAAAGUCAUGUGCCACCACU